RNAcentral lists this ribosomal RNA (692 nucleotides) under Atyopsis moluccensis. Its description in RNAcentral is "12S ribosomal RNA". It matches the Rfam family "Bacterial small subunit ribosomal RNA", at positions 418 to 1522 of the family's 1533-position model. Lineage: Eukaryota; Metazoa; Arthropoda; Malacostraca; Decapoda; Atyidae. The record is from RNAcentral.
CAGUGUAGAGAAUUAGUUUAUAAAUAAAUGUUUAAUUUAGUUAUAUAGGGUAAGUACAGGUUAAAAUUGUGCCAGCAGCCGCGGUUAGACUGGAAGUACUAGUGGGAAAAUUUAGGUUAAAUAGUUAAGAUUAAGUUUUUAAGUGAUUUCGGUUUGAAAAUUGAGGGUGAAAUCUUAUUUUAAAAUAGCGAAGUUGUGAAAAACUGGGUUUGAGGCUAUGAAAGCUUGGGGAUAAAACAGGAUUAGAUACCCUGCUAUACUUAGCUGAAAAUUUUUAUACCUGAUUAGUAAACAGUUAUGUUCUCGAAAAUUAAAGAAUUUGGCGGCAUUUCAGUCUAGUUAGAGGAACCUGUCCUAUAAACGAUAAACCACGUAAAAUUUUACUUUCUCUUGUUUAUUCAGUUAGUAUACCGUCAUUAUUAGAUAAGCUUUACAAGGAUUUAUCUUAAUAGGCUCUCCUAGUAUAUUAGAUCAGGGUGCUGCCGAUGGGGAAGAAGAGAUGGGUUACAAUAACAUUAAGUUAUAACGAAUUGUGAAAUGAAAUUUUCAAUUGAAGGCGGAUUUAAUAGUAAUUAGGUUGUAGCAAGGCCUAGUGAUAAUAGUUCUGAAGUGUGUACAAAUCGCCCGUCGCUCUCACUGCCAAUGUGAGAUAAGUCGUAACAAGGUAGGUGUGUCGGAAGGCGCACCUAGAA